UUAGAGUUUGAUCCUGGCUCAGAUUGAACGCUGGCGGCAUGCCUUACACAUGCAAGUCGAGCGGCAGCGCGGGGGCAACCCUGGCGGCGAGCGGCGCACGGGUGAGUAAUGCAUCGGAACGUGUCCUCUUGUGGGGGAUAACCAGUCGAAAGACUGGCUAAUACCGCAUGAGAUCGAGAGAUGAAAGCAGGGGACCCGCAAGGGCCUUGCGCGAGAGGAGCGGCCGAUGCCCGAUUAGCUAGUUGGCGGGGUAAUGGCCCACCAAGGCGACGAUCGGUAGCUGGUCUGAGAGGACGACCAGCCACACUGGGACUGAGACACGGCCCAGACUCCUACGGGAGGCAGCAGUGGGGAAUUUUGGACAAUGGGGGCAACCCUGAUCCAGCCAUGCCGCGUGUGUGAAGAAGGCCUUCGGGUUGUAAAGCACUUUCGGACGGAACGAAAUCGCGCGAUCUAA
This 457-nucleotide ribosomal RNA is filed under the name uncultured bacterium. Its description in RNAcentral is "bacterial SSU rRNA". It matches the Rfam family "Bacterial small subunit ribosomal RNA", at positions 1 to 463 of the family's 1533-position model. The record is from RNAcentral.